AUGCCUAAGCUGGCAGAGUGGGCAGAAAUAGAAAUUUCGGAUGGAAGUGAAGUGAAGCUAUUUCCUCGCCUCCAACAUUUGAAAAUUUAUGAUUGCGAGCAAUUGAUGAGUGUUCCAAGUCAUGUCUCGUCAUGCCUUGAAGAAUUGAUAAUUGAUGAGAUCGGUGUGGAAUGUCUGCCAGCUGAUUGGUUAUUGAGUAACAGCGAGACUCUCUCUUAUUUGUAGAUAAGAGAGUGCCCGAAUUUGAGAGAAAUAUCAGAUAGGUGGGGAGAAGAAGAAUCAGAAGGAAGAAGCUUCACAAUCACAUCCCUCCCUAUAUUCCCUCGUCUAACAGAUUUGAUAAUCAAAGCGUUCCUAAGUUAAGUUUGGAGACUGUGGAUGCAAUGCGGCGCCUCGAAGUUGAUGGAUACAAAUACAUUGACCCGUGACGGUGAGUAUCAAUAUCUUUUGCUAGAAACAGUUGUAUGUGUAUUUUAUUUGAAAAUGAAAUUCUAAUUAUUAGAAAUUGAAGUAGCCUACUAAAAUCUAUUAUCUUAUUUUAUGGAGUUUCUAAUUCACUUGCUCUUCUUAGUUUGGGGAUUGAGAUUCAUACCACACUUGAUUAUAUUUUUAUAUAUUUUUCUCUAAUUUCAACUUUGAAUGCUUUUGUUUAAUUUUGUGAUUAUUAAUUGGGCUUCAUUCCAUCUAAUUAGGGUAUAUAAUUAUUUUUAUCAAUUAAUUAGUUAAUAAUAGGUUGAAAUUUUUUAAAUUAUGGUAUAUAAUUUUAUAAAAAUUUAAUAUUUUGAAAUAAAUAUUGAGAAUAAUUCAUAGUAUUAUAAUUAUAUUUUUAUAAAAAAUAUUAUUAAAAUAAUAGAUAUAAGAAUGCAAUAUAGUGACGUACAUAAAAUUGUGGGACCAUCAAUCUCAUCCCUUAGUUUGGUGCUCCCACUUCAUCUCAAUACGCUUAAACAUGCAAUAUAUAGGAGAGUAAUUAUUUUGAGUUUGUUUACUAUAUUUUUACAGCGACUCGUCAUCUUAGCUUUUUUUCCAUUAAUUCUUUUUUGCGUUGAUACAGUUAAUCCCGAGGAACCUGAAAUGUGUGUAAUUCAGUGAAGCAGGCGAUCUAGUGAAGAAGGAAUAAGUGAGUAUCCAUUUUCCCCAUGAUAACUUGCUCAAGCUCAACCUCUUUUCAUAAUUUUUUUUGUAAUUCCAUAUCUAUUCUUUGUUUAAACUUUAUUUGAUAGGAUUAUUAUAUCAAGGGUUGAAGAAGAUGCAUGUUUGGAUACCAAUUUGUUUCACAAUUGAUAUGAUUCUCAAAGACUCAAAUUAACUUUAUUAAUCAUUGUGUCUAAACUAAGGAUUCACAUCAUUAUUUAUGCCCAUAGACACAAAAGUGGUAUUACUUAAUGCUAAAAUGUGAAAUUCACAACCAAGCUUAUGUAAGGAGAUCAAAUCAUUUAGCUCACUCGCCAUUUCCUAUUUUAUGUUAAUUUUAUGUUAUAACAAGUUGUAGUGUUUACCAGCUCUAAGGUUGCAAUUGCGAAUUAGGAAACACAAAACAAAACAAAACAAAUACCAAACAUCUUCCAUAUCCAUUUUGAACAUUACUUUUUAUAAGGCUCGUUUGUUUAUAUAGUUAUAAAGUUGAUAGUUUUCAGCUAAGUAUAUUGUACUCCCUCUCUUGAAACAUCUUCCUUUAUUUCAUUUUCGUUCGUCCUCGAACAUCUACCUAGUCCACUUUUGUAAAUUCCAUAAUUAUUAUCUUUCAAUUUUCACAUAUUUACACUAAUUGCACAAAUCACCCACCACUUUUCAUUUUAAUUGGUCUCUAUUAUCACUUUUUAUAUAUCACUUUUUCUAAUAUAUGAGAUCUAUUUUCUACUCAUCAAAUAAACAGCCAACUUUUAUUAAAACUCGUGUUGCCUCCCAUUCGAAAGAUGUUUUAGGGCCAGAGAGUGUAUGGUAUUAAUAUUAUGUUUGAUUAAAUGUAUUACAUUAUCUGUUUUAUAAAUCUAUAUAAUAUAAAAAAUGGAGUUUCCCCCCCCCCGCUUUUUCUUUCUCCUCUCCCAUCAUUUUUUUAGGGAUAUUCGCGGUAAAAUACACGAACUUUCAGCAAAUUCUGAUUUUUCCCAUAAUCUUUAAAAUUUGAAAAGAAAUACUAAACCUCGAUUUUUACUGAAUUUUCCUAUUGGUAUAAAAUACUCCCACAUUGAAACUGAUUUUUUAGGGCUUUCACUUAGAUUUGUUGAUACCUAAGCUGAUGCAUCGACUUUAUUAUGCCACAUUUAUUAUCCGUCAUGCUUAAGUAUCAAAAAAUCUAAGUCAAAAGCCCUAAGAAAAAAUUGAAAGGUGGUACUCCCUCUGUCCCACUAAAAGUGGCCCGUAUUCCAUUUUGGGCCGUCCCACUAUAAGUGGCCUAUUUCCGUAAAUUGAAAAAUUUAACCCUUAAAAAGGUGUAGGCACUACCACUUUUAACCAAUUUACACCUCCUUAAUUCUUGCUACAAGAAUUAGUUUUUGUUGGAUUUGAAGUAUUGGAGGCUCUUCAACGUUUCCACAAUAAUCCCAUGAUCAAGGAUACUGCAAAAGCAUGUGUCAGCAAUGAAGUCAAGAAUGCUGUUGUGGAAUCUUCAGAAAUGGCUUCAAAAUAUUUGUAAUAACUGGGAUUUUGUUGGGGAGAUGUCUAAAAUAUAUACAAUAGAAACGAUGAAAAUCUAAAGUAUCUUUUUCUGGAAAAGAGGUAAUAUGAAGUUUAGUUUAAUCCCUUAGUUCUUGGCUGAUUUGUUGUCUAAUUUUCAGGUGGAUUUAGAGGGGCAUUUUGAGUAUCUGUCAAGUCUUAUUGAGCCAUUUUGAGCUUUGUUAUAGAUUUUCUGAUAGAAUCAAAUAAAUUUCAAGAUGACAUGAGGAUAUAUGAGAUCCAUUAAUAUAAUUUCUGUAGAACUAAAUGUCAAUCUCUCUGGCAUGUGUCUAUUGUUCUGUUUUUAUGAUUUUUUCUUCAAAAAGCUAUUAAUUUUAUUUCAUUAUAUCCAACACUCCAGAGUCCAGCCUUAUUGCAGUUUGUUUAUUGUUAGUUACAUCCCAUCAAACUUGAACUAUCUGUUAUUGUUUUAACUCCAAACAUUGCUGCCCAUGAUUGCAGUGAGUAUGAUUCUAAAGCCAUGGCAGAGAUAGGGGAGCUUCUGAGGAGCAUGGAGGCGAGGCGGCCUCAAUUAGUGGCGCUAACGAGCUUGCUCGUGGGGAAGAACGACGACAGUUUAGUUGUUGAGUCUGAAGAGAAGGAUGAUGACAAAAAUUAAGACAGCAAUAUUGAAGAUGGAAGUUGUGGAAGUUGAACCCAAUCCCAGCAACAAGGGAAAUGGAAAAAGGCACACCAAUGAAAGAAUGUUGAGCAUAUUAUAUAACAUUAAAACAAAGUUUGAAUUUGCAUCACCAUUAGAAUCUUGCAAGUAAGUUCUAACUUGCAGGACAGAAUAUUUGGUUUUAAUUUAUCAAUUGCGUGCUUUUAUAAACAGACGAAAGUAGUAAUAAGACUUUCAGUUUGCAUGGACGAAGGUAGUAAUAAAACUACAAUUUGAAUUUGCUGACGACUGCAUUUUGUUAGUGUACAUGUAUUCACCUUCCAUGAAUUCACUGCUUAUUUGUUGAUUUACCAUAGUAUAGACACAGAGUUGUCAGCUGAAAAGAGAGAGAGGAUUUGAUAGUGCAGCAGCUUGAACUUAGCUUGAUAACUGCGUUUCGUGCUCUUGUUGCUGAUUUUGUAAUCUGUUCUUGUCUCCUGUUUUCGUAGUGAAUUUUUCCUUACUUUGCGACCGUGGAUG
This 3796-nucleotide long non-coding RNA is filed under the name Salvia miltiorrhiza (redroot sage). RNAcentral's name for it is "long non-coding RNA (SMIL_LNC004900)". The record is from RNAcentral. Lineage: Eukaryota; Viridiplantae; Streptophyta; Magnoliopsida; Lamiales; Lamiaceae.